GUCUAUGGCCAUGCUACCCUGAAUAAGCCCGAUCCCGUCUGAUAUCGAAAGCUAAGUAGGAUCGGGCCUGGUUAGUACUUGGAUGGGAGACCACCUAGGAAGGCCAGGCGCUGUAGGCA
This 119-nucleotide ribosomal RNA is filed under the name Pteropus alecto (black flying fox). Lineage: Eukaryota; Metazoa; Chordata; Mammalia; Chiroptera; Pteropodidae. The record is from RNAcentral.